This 440-nucleotide ribosomal RNA is filed under the name uncultured beta proteobacterium. RNAcentral's name for it is "bacterial SSU rRNA". It matches the Rfam family "Bacterial small subunit ribosomal RNA", at positions 201 to 632 of the family's 1533-position model. The record is from RNAcentral. Lineage: Bacteria; Pseudomonadati; Pseudomonadota; Betaproteobacteria.
GGAUCGCAAGACCUUGCGCUCAUUGAGCGGCCGAUGCCUGAUUAGCUAGUUGGUGAGGUAAAGGCUUACCAAGGCGACGAUCAGUAGCUGGUCUGAGAGGACGACCAGCCACACUGGGACUGAGACACGGCCCAGACUCCUACGGGAGGCAGCAGUGGGGAAUUUUGGACAAUGGGGGAAACCCUGAUCCAGCCAUGCCGCGUGAGUGAAGAAGGCCUUCGGGUUGUAAAGCUCUUUCAGCCGGAGCGAAACGGUCACGGCUAAUACCUGUGACCACUGACGGUACCGGAAGAAGAAGCACCGGCUAACUACGUGCCAGCAGCCGCGGUAAUACGUAGGGUGCAAGCGUUAAUCGGAAUUACUGGGCGUAAAGCGUGCGCAGGCGGUUUUGUAAGUCAGAUGUGAAAUCCCCGGGCUUAACCUGGGAACUGCGUUUGAAA